GAUGAAGAACGUAGCGAAAUGCGAUACUUGGUGUGAAUUGCAGAAUCCCGUGAACCAUCGAGUCUUUGAACGCAAGUUGCGCCCGAAGCCAUCAGGUUGAGGGCACGUCUGCCUGGGCGUCACAUAUCGUUGCCCAAUGCCUAUUGCAGUGCAAUAGGAAUUUCUAGGGCGAAUGAUGCUUCCCGUGAGCGUUGUUGCCUCGCGGUUGGUUGAAAAUCGAGUCCUUGGUAGGGUGUGCCAUGGUAGAUGGUGGUCGAGUUAGAACGAUACCGAUCAUGUGCAUGCUCCCCAAAAUAUGGCCUCUAUGACCCACACGCGUCUUUUGACGCUCAUGACGAGACCUCAGGUCAGGCGGGGCUACCCGCUGAAUUUAAGCAUAUCAAUAAGCGGAGGA
This 394-nucleotide unclassified non-coding RNA is filed under the name soil metagenome. RNAcentral's name for it is "partial contains 5.8S ribosomal RNA, internal transcribed spacer 2, and large subunit ribosomal RNA". The stretch from base 1 to 122 matches the Rfam family "5.8S ribosomal RNA", at positions 35 to 154 of the family's 154-position model. The record is from RNAcentral.